CCCAUGGCUCAGAUUGAACGCUGGCGGCAGGCCUAACACAUGCAAGUCGAGCGGCAGCACGGGUACUUGUACCUGGUGGCGAGCGGCGGACGGGUGAGUAAUGCCUAGGAAUCUGCCUGGUAGUGGGGGAUAACGCUCGGAAACGGACGCUAAUACCGCAUACGUCCUACGGGAGAAAGCAGGGGACCUUCGGGCCUUGCGCUAUCAGAUGAGCCUAGGUCGGAUUAGCUAGUUGGUGAGGUAAUGGCUCACCAAGGCGACGAUCCGUAACUGGUCUGAGAGGAUGAUCAGUCACACUGGAACUGAGACACGGUCCAGACUCCUACGGGAGGCAGCAGUGGGGAAUAUUGGACAAUGGGCGAAAGCCUGAUCCAGCCAUGCCGCGUGUGUGAAGAAGGUCUUCGGAUUGUAAAGCACUUUAAGUUGGGAGGAAGGGCAGUUACCUAAUACGUAUCUGUUUUGACGUUACCGACAGAAUAAGCACCGGCUAACU
This 493-nucleotide ribosomal RNA is filed under the name Pseudomonas sp. CL2.37. Its description in RNAcentral is "bacterial SSU rRNA". It matches the Rfam family "Bacterial small subunit ribosomal RNA", at positions 16 to 502 of the family's 1533-position model. The record is from RNAcentral. Lineage: Bacteria; Pseudomonadati; Pseudomonadota; Gammaproteobacteria; Pseudomonadales; Pseudomonadaceae.